AACCUACCCAACUGACAGCAGAUAUNGUAUAGAAAUAUAUUUCCCGCAAGGCAACUGGCAGGUGCUGCAUGGCUGUGUCAGCUCGUGCCGUGAGGUGUUGGGUUAAGUCCCGCAACGAGCGCAACCCUUAUCGUUAGUUGCCAGCAUUUUAGGUGGGGACUCUAGCGAGACUGCCUGGGUUAACCAGGAGGAAGGUGAGGAUGACGUCAAGUCAGCAUGGCCCUUAUGUCUGGGGCUACACACGUGCUACAAUGGUCAGUACAGAAGGCAGCGAAGCCGAAAGGUGGAGCCAAAUCCUAUAAAGCUGAUCUCAGUUCGGAUUGUAGUCUGCAACUCGACUACAUGAAGUUGGAAUUGCUAGUAAUGGCGUGUCAGCAAUAACGCCGUGAAUGCGUUCUCGGGUCUUGUACACACCGCCCGUCACAUCAUGGAAGUUGGUUUUACCCGAAGUCACUGACUUAACCCGCAAGGGGAAGAGGGCCGAAGNAAGGCGAGAUGG
This 499-nucleotide ribosomal RNA is filed under the name uncultured bacterium. RNAcentral describes it as "bacterial SSU rRNA". It matches the Rfam family "Bacterial small subunit ribosomal RNA", at positions 966 to 1474 of the family's 1533-position model. The record is from RNAcentral.